RNAcentral lists this ribosomal RNA (439 nucleotides) under uncultured bacterium. Its description in RNAcentral is "partial 16S ribosomal RNA". It matches the Rfam family "Bacterial small subunit ribosomal RNA", at positions 339 to 795 of the family's 1533-position model. The record is from RNAcentral.
CUACGGGCGGCAGCAGUGAGGAAUAUUGCACAACGGAGGAAACUCUGAUGCAGCAACGCCGCGUGGAGGAUGACGCAUUUCGGUGUGUAAACUCCUUUUAUAUGUCAAGAAAAUGACGGUAGCAUAUGAAUAAGCUCCGGCUAACUCCGUGCCAGCAGCCGCGGUAAUACGGAGGGAGCAAGCGUUACUCGGAAUCACUGGGCGUAAAGGACGCGUAGGCGGGAUAGAAAGUCAGGUGUGAAAUCCUAUGGCUCAACCAUAGAACUGCACUUGAAACUUCUAACCUAGAGUAUGGGAGGGGAAGAUGGAAUUAGUGGUGUAGGGGUAAAAUCCGUAGAUAUCACUAGGAAUACCAAAAGCGAAGGCGAUCUUCUGGAACAAUACUGACGCUAAGGCGUGAAAGCGUGGGGAGCAAACAGGAUUAGAUACCCGAGUAGUC